RNAcentral lists this microRNA (23 nucleotides) under Heligmosomoides polygyrus. Its description in RNAcentral is "hpo-miR-10062-5p". Lineage: Eukaryota; Metazoa; Nematoda; Chromadorea; Rhabditida; Heligmosomidae. The record is from miRBase by way of RNAcentral.
UGAAUUGAACUGAGAUGCUUAUU